AUGAACGCUGGCGGCGUGCCUAAUACAUGCAAGUCGAGCGAACGGACGAGAAGCUUGCUUCUCUGAUGUUAGCGGCGGACGGGUGAGUAACACGUGGAUAACCUACCUAUAAGACUGGGAUAACUUCGGGAAACCGGAGCUAAUACCGGAUAAUAUUUUGAACCGCAUGGUUCAAAAGUGAAAGACGGUCUUGCUGUCACUUAUAGAUGGAUCCGCGCUGCAUCAGCUAGUUGGUAAGGUAACGGCUUACCAAGGCAACGAUGCAUAGCCGACCUGAGAGGGUGAUCGGCCACACUGGAACUGAGACACGGUCCAGACUCCUACGGGAGGCAGCAGUAGGGAAUCUUCCGCAGUGGGCGAAAGCCUGACGGAGCAACGCCGCGUGAGUGAUGAAGGUCUUCGGAUCGUAAAACUCUGUUAUUAGGGAAGAACAUAUGUGUAAGUAACUGUGCACAUCUUGACGGUACCUAUCAGAAAGCCACGGCUAACUACGUG
This 495-nucleotide ribosomal RNA is filed under the name uncultured bacterium. RNAcentral describes it as "partial 16S ribosomal RNA". It matches the Rfam family "Bacterial small subunit ribosomal RNA", at positions 29 to 507 of the family's 1533-position model. The record is from RNAcentral.